Molecule: RNase P RNA, 344 nt
Filed under: Kiritimatiellaceae bacterium
Lineage: Bacteria; Pseudomonadati; Kiritimatiellota; Kiritimatiellia; Kiritimatiellales; Kiritimatiellaceae
Description: RNase P RNA component class A
Rfam family: Bacterial RNase P class A
About the family: Ribonuclease P (RNase P) is a ubiquitous endoribonuclease, found in archaea, bacteria and eukarya as well as chloroplasts and mitochondria. Its best characterised activity is the generation of mature 5'-ends of tRNAs by cleaving the 5'-leader elements of precursor-tRNAs.
Source: RNAcentral
CAGGCAGGGUGUAUCGGUCGCUCUCUUCGGAGGGAGGAAAGUCCGGACUCCGCAGGGCAGGACGUUCCGUGGUUAACGCGGGAACCCGUGUGCGAUAUCGCACGGGAAGGAAAGUGCCGCAGAAAAUAUACCGCCAUGCCCUCGGGUGUGGUAAGGGUGAAAAGGUGGGGUAAGAGCCCACCGCCCCAAGGGUAACCGAGGGGGCAGGGUAAACCCCGUCCGGAGCAAGAUCAAAUAGGGAACCGAGGAGCGGCCCGCUCCGUUUAAGUUCCGGGUUGAACGCACUAGAUAAAUGACCGACCCCGUAAGGGGAACAGAAUCCGGCUUACCGCCCUGCUUGUUUU